CGAGAUGUAGCCUAGUUGAGCAGGGCGCUGCAUUUGGGUUGCAGAGGUCGCAGGUUCAAAUCCUGUCAUCUCGACCA
Molecule: transfer RNA, 77 nt
Filed under: Caudoviricetes sp.
Lineage: Duplodnaviria; Heunggongvirae; Uroviricota; Caudoviricetes
Description: tRNA-Pro
Rfam family: tRNA
About the family: Transfer RNA (tRNA) molecules are approximately 80 nucleotides in length. Their secondary structure includes four short double-helical elements and three loops (D, anti-codon, and T loops). Further hydrogen bonds mediate the characteristic L-shaped molecular structure. tRNAs have two regions of fundamental functional importance: the anti-codon, which is responsible for specific mRNA codon recognition, and the 3' end, to which the tRNAs corresponding amino acid is attached (by aminoacyl-tRNA synthetases). tRNAs cope with the degeneracy of the genetic code in two manners: having more than one tRNA (with a specific anti-codon) for a particular amino acid; and 'wobble' base-pairing, i.e. permitting non-standard base-pairing at the 3rd anti-codon position.
Source: RNAcentral